RNAcentral lists this ribosomal RNA (427 nucleotides) under uncultured bacterium. Its description in RNAcentral is "bacterial SSU rRNA". It matches the Rfam family "Bacterial small subunit ribosomal RNA", at positions 355 to 774 of the family's 1533-position model. The record is from RNAcentral.
UGGGGAAUUUUGGACAAUGGGCGCAAGCCUGAUCCAGCCAUGCCGCGUGCAGGAUGAAGGCCUUCGGGUUGUAAACUGCUUUUGUACGGAACGAAAAGGUGCCUUCUAAUAAAGGGCGCUCAUGACGGUACCGUAAGAAUAAGCACCGGCUAACUACGUGCCAGCAGCCGCGGUAAUACGUAGGGUGCGAGCGUUAAUCGGAAUUACUGGGCGUAAAGCGUGCGCAGGCGGUUUUGUAAGACAGAGGUGAAAUCCCCGGGCUCAACCUGGGAACUGCCUUUGUGACUGCAAGGCUGGAGUGCGGCAGAGGGUGAUGGAAUUCCUCGUGUAGUAGUGAAAUGCGUAGAUAUGCGGAGGAACACCGAUGGCGAAGGCAAUCCCCUGGGCCUGCACUGACGCUCAUGCACGAAAGCGUGGGGAGCAAACA